AGAGUGGGACGGACAAAAAAUAAACCAAAAUAUUCGUCAUCUCCGUGAAAUAGAUUUAGUACGAAAAAAAAACCAUCAUCGAACAAUUAACAAGGAAGGACAAAGUAGCUGAAACUGACUAAUUUGACAGCUGAAAAUGAUACAAGUCUAUGAUAAAGCCAUCGUUAACUAAAAGAAACGUGCAAGUAACAAUUCGUUUGCAACUCGCAAAAAUGGCCUGAUUUAGAAAGUAUUAUUUAAACCGUUGUUGACAGUUACCAUCCAAAUUAUCUUACAGGAAAUGCGAUAAAUAUGUUUAGAGUGCAAAGUAAACGUACCUGAAGUACGAGUACCAUCGAUCCACAGCUUGAAACCUUCCCCAUCACAUUCAGUGGAUGCCAUCUGGAAUUUUGACAUUUUCUUACAUCCGGAUUUUAUCCCUUUUUAAGCCUUAUGUAUCUUGUCUAUACCUUAUUUAAUGUGGAGCUGUUGAAUGUUCAGUCAGUGCCAUACGCGUGUAAUCUUGAAUAACAAUGUUCGCUUUGCAACAUUCCAUAAAUUUAUUCGAAUAAAUAAGGGAGGCAAGCUUUA
Molecule: long non-coding RNA, 570 nt
Organism: Daphnia pulex (common water flea)
Lineage: Eukaryota; Metazoa; Arthropoda; Branchiopoda; Diplostraca; Daphniidae
Exons: 2
Source: RefSeq, a predicted model, not a curated record